Molecule: unclassified non-coding RNA, 351 nt
Filed under: Hevea brasiliensis (rubber tree)
Lineage: Eukaryota; Viridiplantae; Streptophyta; Magnoliopsida; Malpighiales; Euphorbiaceae
Source: RNAcentral
UAUAAAGACUUGUGCUGCUGUUGAUCGGGAGCUAGAGCAGCACCAUAAGAUUGAUUCAUUCCAGAGUGGAACAACUGCCUUGACGAUUGUCAGACAAGAAGAACAUAUUUUUGUAGCAAAUGUUGGCGACUCUAGAGCUGUAUUGGCUACCACAUCAGAUGAUGGAAACUUGGUAGCAGUUCAGCUUACUGUUGAUUUCAAGCCCAAUUUACCUCGUCAGUUUGUUCCCUUCUCUUUUUCAUCUUCCUUUGAAAGCAAGAAAAGACUUGUUUCUCACAAUAAUUUUGGUCUUUCUUUUUUGCAGAGGAGUCUGAACGGAUACUUCAGUGCAAGGGACGAGUGUUCUGUUUG